Molecule: ribosomal RNA, 354 nt
Filed under: Triticum aestivum (bread wheat)
Lineage: Eukaryota; Viridiplantae; Streptophyta; Magnoliopsida; Poales; Poaceae
Description: partial small subunit ribosomal RNA
Source: RNAcentral
AUGGACUCAUGGUUCUCCGUUCCUCCUUAUGCCCUGCGGGAGCUUGUCAUCGAGGGGAAAUCAGUCACAAGAGUUCCGACAUGGAUGGCCUCGCUUGUCAACCUCGAGAAACUGCACCUCCGCAUAUAUAAGAUGCCUGAGGAAGAGGUGAAGAUCCUGGGUGGCCUGCCAUCUCUGCGUCAUCUCUGUAUCGAGUGGGCUGAUUUUGAUUAUGACGACAUGUUUGACGACCCCCCCAUGGAGGUGGUUGAGGCUGCUGUACGGAAAGCCAUGGAAGACCAUCCCAACCGUCCUACCUUGGUCUGGACAACUGAGUGGGACCCAUUGCCUAGCUUCUUGCAGCUCCGAAGUUAA